UCCGUGUUAACCACGGCAGUCUCCCUAGAGAGCCCAACUGAAUGCUGGCAACUAAGGGCAGGGGUUGCGCUCGUUGCGGCACUUAAGCCAACACCUCACGGCACGAGCUGACGACAGCCAUGCAGCACCUGUGCUGGCCCCUUACGGACACGGGCUUUCACCCGCUUUAACCAGCAUGUCAAGCCUAGGUAAGGUUCUUCGCGUCGCAUCGAAUUAAGCCACAUGCUCCGCCGCUUGUGCGGGUCCCCGUCAAUUCCUUUGAGUUUUAGCCUUGCGGCCGUACUCCCCAGGCGGGGUGCUUAAUGCGUUAGCUGCGGCACGGAAAGGGUUGAAGACCUCCCCACACCUAGUGCCCAACGUUUACGGCGUGGACUAC
RNAcentral lists this unclassified non-coding RNA (376 nucleotides) under uncultured Actinomycetes bacterium. Its description in RNAcentral is "uncultured actinobacterium contains 16S-23S intergenic spacer region". Lineage: Bacteria; Bacillati; Actinomycetota; Actinomycetes. The record is from RNAcentral.